GACAAGCCGGUACGGUUGGCAUUCCUGGCUAUGGUGGCACUUGUGGUGGUGGCAGCCCUGACUACGAUGGCGAUGGUGGUUGAGAGUGCCUCGGUGCGAGAACGUAAACCCACAAACCACUCCAAUAACACUUCAGUCAUUGCAGUGCCUUCAGAUCUACUGGUGCGCCUAGUGGAGGUGACACAAUCCCUUCAUAACUUGCUGCCGCGCCGGAGUGUAAGCGACGGAAACAUUGAGGCGACCCAAGAGGCCGCUGGGCUAAAAGGUGCGUCUGGUGAGGAGCGGAUUCUUACACUUGCACUGACACAACACGCGCUGCUACAACACAGAAUGGAGGAACUUCUGACGCAAACAGGAAGGUGUCAAGCCCAGGUGGAGGCGCUGCGGGAGGACAAGGAGGAGCUGAAGAGGGAAAUUCAAGCCACGAAGGAGCGAAUGACAACAAAAAACAAAGAUUUAGGCUCGUCGACACAUGAAUUUCCCGCCAAAAGUGACCACGGUUGCAAAUGUAAACAAACUGACUCUGACGCACCCAAAAGGACUGCAAUGCUCUCUACCACUGCUACUAUCGAUACUACUACUGCAAUAACUGUCCUCACUGCUCCGCCUGGUUCUCCUGAGUCUACUACUAUCACUAAUGGCAGGAAUAGUAGCACUGGGCGGAUAGUAGACCGUGUUUCUGGUGGAGCGGUGACUGAGACUACUCCUAUUACAAUUAUUCCGACUACUACUGCUGCUACUGCUAAUGCUACUACUACUACUGAGAGUGUGGUCGUGCUUGGAUCUGGUGUAAGGUAAGUACUAUUUGUGAUACUACUACUACUACUACUACUACAACUACUACUACAACUACUACCAUUACUACUUCUAAUUAUAUUGCUGAUAUUACUUCUGUUCUACUGCUACUACUACUACU
Scylla paramamosain (green mud crab) is the source of this 916-nucleotide long non-coding RNA. RefSeq lists it as uncharacterized. NCBI's taxonomy places the organism in Eukaryota, Metazoa, Arthropoda, Malacostraca, Decapoda, Portunidae. The record is from RefSeq and is a predicted model, not a curated record. The transcript has 4 exons.